Molecule: long non-coding RNA, 304 nt
Organism: Brassica rapa (field mustard)
Lineage: Eukaryota; Viridiplantae; Streptophyta; Magnoliopsida; Brassicales; Brassicaceae
Source: RefSeq, a predicted model, not a curated record
UAUUUAUAACGAAUGAAUGAAUUUAUGAAAGAGAGAGAGUGUGUGUGGUUGGGACUUAUAAUAAUGCCUACGAAGACCUAAACGGCCAAGUUCACAGUGUGUAUGAAGGAGCAGACACGUGGUUAGUUACACGCAUCUAUGCGAAUGCGAUUAUAAGUUAAAUACUAUUCGGUAUAAAACUGAAAGUCAUUUUUUAUUUUUCCAUUUGGAGAUAUCUUUUUUGUAGUUAUUUUUGAAACAUAAUGAUUAUAGGUUUUGGUAAAAUAAUGAUUAUAGUUAUCAUAAAUAUCUAAACCUUAUCGUA